Dalotia coriaria is the source of this 650-nucleotide long non-coding RNA. RefSeq lists it as uncharacterized. The record is from RefSeq and is a predicted model, not a curated record. The transcript has 2 exons. NCBI's taxonomy places the organism in Eukaryota, Metazoa, Arthropoda, Insecta, Coleoptera, Staphylinidae.
CAUGACGUCACUGCUUUAAUGUAAAAUAUGUUGUUGUUCAUGUUGUCAAUAUCUUUUCCUCACUUUGUGUUAACUUAACUUAUAAUAAAAUUAGUUUAAAGUAGUGCGAGGUUACAUUUCCGAUAUUACAUUUCAUGUUCUUUAACGGGUUUUUCUUAUCUGUGAUUUUACAUUAGUGUCUUUGUACCAAAUUAAAAUAUUACAUUAUAUAGAAACAAAAUGAAAAUAGAUUAUGUAGAUACAUACAAUCAUGUUAAAAUAGGGACUAGAAAUACAUAUAAAUACAGGCAAAAAUUUUGUUUCAAGUAUCAGUUGAACUAACAACCAACAAAAAAACCAACAUGGCUAAAUUGAUUCUUGCCCUUUUUGCAGUAUUUGCUGUAGCAUCACUUGCGUCUGCUACCUUCUACCAUGAUGAAUAUGCACCUGGAGAGAUGCCACCCAUGGAUGAUUACUAUCCAUCUGAACCUGAAGUUGCCCAAUUUGGAAACGAUGUUGUUGAUACUGUUCCCGUCGACUCAGCUGUAGACCAACCAACUGGUUAAAUUUUUAUGUCUAAAAUUUUUAAAUUUUGUUCAAUAGUCUUGUUUUUCUCAGAUUUGUAAUGCUUAAUUAAUAAAUAAAAUAUGCAAGUAUCAAAAUACUUAAAA